GUCUUCUUCCAUGGUUUCUUUUCCCCUUGCAUAGUUGGGAGUAAAGGAUUUGUCUGGGGAGUCAGCUGUGUUCCUCCUUCCUGUUGUAUGUGU
Long non-coding RNA from Octopus sinensis (East Asian common octopus), 93 nucleotides. RefSeq lists it as uncharacterized. NCBI's taxonomy places the organism in Eukaryota, Metazoa, Mollusca, Cephalopoda, Octopoda, Octopodidae. The transcript has 3 exons. The record is from RefSeq and is a predicted model, not a curated record.